GAUGAACGCUGGCGGCGUGCCUAAUACAUGCAAGUCGAGCGAACAGACGAGGAGCUUGCUCCUUUGACGUUAGCGGCGGACGGGUGAGUAACACGUAGGUAACCUACCUAUACGACUGGGAUAACUUCGGGAAACCGGAGCUAAUACCGGAUAAUAUUUCGAACCGCAUGGUUCGAUAGUGAAAGAUGGCUUUGCUAUCACUUAUAGAUGGACCUGCGCCGUAUUAGCUAGUUGGUAAGGGAACGGCUUACCAAAGCAACGCUACGUAGCCGGCCGUAGAGGGUGCUCGGCCACACUGUAAGUGAGACACGGUCCAGACUCCUACGGGAGGCAGCAGUAGGGAAUCUGCCGCAAUGGGCGAAAGCCUGACGGAGCAACGCCUCGUGAGUGAUGUAGGUCUUCGGAUCGUAAAACUCUGUUAUUAGGGAAGAACAAACGUGUAAGUAACUGUGCACGUCUUGACGGUACCUAAUCAGAAAGCCACGGCUAACUACGUGCCAGCAGCCGCUGUAA
RNAcentral lists this ribosomal RNA (513 nucleotides) under uncultured bacterium. RNAcentral's name for it is "partial 16S ribosomal RNA". It matches the Rfam family "Bacterial small subunit ribosomal RNA", at positions 28 to 523 of the family's 1533-position model. The record is from RNAcentral.